Molecule: ribosomal RNA, 2800 nt
Filed under: Dictyostelium giganteum
Lineage: Eukaryota; Evosea; Eumycetozoa; Dictyosteliales; Dictyosteliaceae
Description: bacterial SSU rRNA
Rfam family: Eukaryotic large subunit ribosomal RNA (bases 1477-2800)
Source: RNAcentral
CCGAUAAACGGACGAGACCUCGACCUGCUAACUAGUAGUAUUUAUUAGUCGAUAUGGGCGAUAGCUUCUCUGGGGUUUGGAAUGAUUUCGGUCAUCUCCUGCUUCAAGGAGUGUGUAGUCUGACUUGAUAGGUACGAAUUCAAAAACUUCUUAGAGGGACUACCUGCCUCAAGCAGGCGGAAGUCCGAGGCAAUAACAGGUCUGUGAUGCCCUUAGAUACCUUGGGCCGCACGCGCGCUACAAUGUAGAAAACAAAAAGGUUCCUGGUCCGGAAGGAUUGGGUAAUCAAUUGAAUUUUCUACGUAACUGGGAUUGAUCUUUGUAAUUAUUGAUCAUCAACGAGGAAUUCCUUGUAAGCGCAAGUCAUUACCUUGUGCUGAAUAUGUCCCUGCCCUUUGUACACACCGCCCGUCGCUCCUACCGAUCGAAUGAUACGGUAAAGUUAACGGAUCGUUUUAUUUGUGGCAACACAUUAUAAGACUAAAAGUUAUUUAAAUCUCAUUGUUUAGAGGAAGGAGAAGUCGUAACAAGGUAUCCGUAGGUGAACCUGCGGAUGGAUCAUUUUCUAUCAUUUCAAUUAUCAUCAUUAGAUGACGGUUGAUCUAAAUUUUUGCAAAAUAGUGGCAGUCCGCUGUCGUUAAAGUAGCAAUUAGGACGAUCCUGUUGUCUUAUUGGUACUAAUCUUCGCGAUUAUAAUUGAGCGCAAUGAUAGCGAAUGUCGCGCAAGCGAAUCCAUCCGCUUAAAAACACAUUGUUACUGACCGAUCCCGACUCACUUUAUYCAAAGCGCCAAGCGCGCGAUGGACUUUUCUAGCGUGUCAAACUUGACAUUUAAAAUAUGUUUAACGAUAUUUUUAAAUCAUUAAGCAUAAACGGUGGAUACCUCGACUCCUAAAUCGAUGAAGACCGUAGCAAACUGCGAUAAUUCACUUGAAUUGCAGCCUACUGGGAUAGUUGAAACGUUGAACGCACAUGAUGACAUUGGUCCUUUCGGAUUAAGUGUUAUACCUGGGUGAGAGUGGCUUUUAAACCAGUCAUAAUCAAAUGAUUAGCGCUUGCGCUAAACUUUGAGAGUGAUUUGUAUAGCAAAGGAUACCAAUCGCAAGCCUUACGGUCUGCCGGCGGUUGAAUGAACUAUACAUUUAUGCGGUACUCCGCAGUAAUCGUCACAGUUUUCACUUGGUUGAUCCCUUUCUUUUUUACUUUAUGUAUUGACUUGCUCUUUCGAGUAAUCUAAUCGCAUGGGUAGUUAAGCGAGUUUCUUUUGAACACUUCUAACAUUGAUUUAUCAUUACUAGUCGUGUGCAAGCUAAACAGACCUUUUCUACUUGAUUUUAUUACAAAACUGUUGGCAUUUCGCAUACAAAAAGCAUUAAAUAUUGGUCGAUCCCUCGUGAUAUACGGCUGUUUAGUCGGUUCAAUUAGCAUAGGGUGCUACCCUCGUUAGACUAUUUAUUGAACCCAUGACUUUAUAUGUUGCCUCACCUUGGUAAGACUACCCGCUGAACUUAAGCAUAUCAGUAAGCGGAGGAAAAGAAACUAACUAGGAUUCCGUCAGUAACGGNNNNNNNNNNNNNNNNNNNNNNNNNNNNNNNNNNNNNNNNNNNNNNNNNNNNNNNNNNGAUCUCUUCGAGGUCAGGAGAUUUAACCUAAGGACUGAUGGACCUCGCUAUUGUACUUGCUAAUUCCGUUUGGAAUUUCGAGUCGUAGAAGGUGAUAACCCUGUUCGCAAGGUGUCAAUAGCUAGACUAUGCCAUUAGCUCCACGAGUAGGAAUGUCUGAAAUUGCAUUCUGAAUGGGUGAUAAGAUUCAUCCAAGGCUAAAUAUAUGUUAGGAGAUCGAUAGCAUACAAGUACCGUGAGGGAAAGGUGAAAAGAACUUUGAAAAAAGGUUUAAAAGUAUUUGACACCGUUUAUGUGGAAGCGUUUACUUGGACCCCAAAUGAUGACGUUGGCUUAGCUCAAAUUCUUAGGAGAUCAAAGUAGAGUGGUGGGUGCCGAUCAAAAGGUAACUGACGCUUGAUUAUCAUUGGUUUCCGCUGAGGAGUGUACUCUAAGUCAGCCAGUUACUAACGGGUAAGAUCUGGUGUUUAUAAAAUGAGAGAUGAGGUUCAUUGAAGGCAACUUUGGUGGGCUCGCUUUUAAUAAUGGGCACUGGGUUUUAUCAAGAUUGCAAAAUACAGNNNNNNNNNNNNNNNNNNNNNNNNNNNNUGUUGGCGUAGCUUGGCCUUGUCUGCAGGAGAUCUUCGGAUCGCUUGUAGCUUUGUCGAAUGCGUUAGCUUAAUGUGGUGGCUCUAGUGGCGUCUGUAUAUCGUUAGAGUGGGUUCAAUAAAUGUCCCGUCUUGAAACACGGAUCAAGGAGGCCGUUUUAUGUGCGAGUGUAAGAGUUAUUAAAACUCCGACGCGUAUUGAAAGAGAGAAUAUUCCCAAAGAUCGUGACUACGGUCAUCUUCUGUAAGGAAUACCCGAAUCAUGAGAACUCUGUUUCGAAAGGAUUUGCGGUUGAGCACAUAGAAUGGGACCCGAAAGGUUGUGAACUAUGCCUGAGGAAGGCGAAGCCAGGGGAAACUCUGGUGGAGGCUUGUCGCAAUGCUGACGUGCAAAUCGCUUGUCUAACUUGGGUAUAGGGGCGAAAGACUAAUCGAACAACCUAGUAGCUGGUUCCUUCCGAAGUUUCCCUCAGGAUAGCUGGAGCAUAUAUUCUAGUUCCAUCUUGUAAAGACAAUGAUUAGCAGUUUCGGGGGCGUAAUGCUCUCAGCUGAUUCUCAAACUCUGAACGGGUGGGUCUCAUAUCAAUUCAC